Molecule: transfer RNA, 70 nt
Filed under: Dipodomys ordii (Ord's kangaroo rat)
Lineage: Eukaryota; Metazoa; Chordata; Mammalia; Rodentia; Heteromyidae
Rfam family: tRNA
About the family: Transfer RNA (tRNA) molecules are approximately 80 nucleotides in length. Their secondary structure includes four short double-helical elements and three loops (D, anti-codon, and T loops). Further hydrogen bonds mediate the characteristic L-shaped molecular structure. tRNAs have two regions of fundamental functional importance: the anti-codon, which is responsible for specific mRNA codon recognition, and the 3' end, to which the tRNAs corresponding amino acid is attached (by aminoacyl-tRNA synthetases). tRNAs cope with the degeneracy of the genetic code in two manners: having more than one tRNA (with a specific anti-codon) for a particular amino acid; and 'wobble' base-pairing, i.e. permitting non-standard base-pairing at the 3rd anti-codon position.
Source: Rfam by way of RNAcentral
GGGAAUGUAGCUUAGUGGUAGAGUGCUUGCCUAACAUGCAUGAGGCCCUGGGUUCAAUUCCUCAGUACCA